RNAcentral lists this ribosomal RNA (497 nucleotides) under uncultured bacterium. Its description in RNAcentral is "bacterial SSU rRNA". It matches the Rfam family "Bacterial small subunit ribosomal RNA", at positions 899 to 1397 of the family's 1533-position model. The record is from RNAcentral.
ACUCAAAGGAAUUGACGGGGGCCCGCACAAGCAGCGGAGCAUGUGGAUUAAUUCGAUGCAACGCGAAGAACCUUACCAGGUCUUGACAUCCUAUGAGAACUGUAGAAAUGCAGUUGGCCUUCGGGACAUAGAGACAGGUGGUGCAUGGUUGUCGUCAGCUCGUGUCGUGAGAUGUUGGGUUAAGUCCCGCAACGAGCGCAACCCCUACGGUCAGUUGCCAACGGGUAGAGCCGGGCACUCUGGCAGGACAGCCGUGGGUAACACGGAGGAAGGUGGGGACGACGUCAAAUCAUCAUGCCCCUUACGAUCUGGGCUUCACACGUGCUACAAUGGCCGCAACAAAGAGAUACGAAGUCGCGAGGCGGAGUGGAUCACAAAAAAGCGGUCUCAGUUCAGAUUGUGGGCUGCAACCCGCCCACAUGAAGACGGAGUUGCUAGUAAUCGCGAAUCAGAAUGUCGCGGUGAAUACGUUCCCGGGCCUUGUACACACCGCCCGU